RNAcentral lists this ribosomal RNA (713 nucleotides) under Vibrio sp. 7A02. RNAcentral describes it as "bacterial SSU rRNA". It matches the Rfam family "Bacterial small subunit ribosomal RNA", at positions 33 to 735 of the family's 1533-position model. The record is from RNAcentral. Lineage: Bacteria; Pseudomonadati; Pseudomonadota; Gammaproteobacteria; Vibrionales; Vibrionaceae.
ACGCUGGCGGCAGGCCUAACACAUGCAAGUCGAGCGGUAACAGGAAUUAGCUUGCUAAUUUGCUGACGAGCGGCGGACGGGUGAGUAAUGCCUGGGAAUAUGCCUUAGUGUGGGGGAUAACUAUUGGAAACGAUAGCUAAUACCGCAUAACGUCUUCGGACCAAAGAGGGGGACCUUCGGGCCUCUCGCGCUAAGAUUAGCCCAGGUGGGAUUAGCUAGUUGGUGAGGUAAAGGCUCACCAAGGCAACGAUCCCUAGCUGGUCUGAGAGGAUGAUCAGCCACACUGGAACUGAGACACGGUCCAGACUCCUACGGGAGGCAGCAGUGGGGAAUAUUGCACAAUGGGGGAAACCCUGAUGCAGCCAUGCCGCGUGUAUGAAGAAGGCCUUCGGGUUGUAAAGUACUUUCAGUCGUGAGGAAGGGUAUGUAGUUAAUAGCUGCRUSCCUUGACGUUAGCGACAGAAGAAGCACCGGCUAACUCCGUGCCAGCAGCCGCGGUAAUACGGAGGGUGCGAGCGUUAAUCGGAAUUACUGGGCGUAAAGCGCAUGCAGGCGGUCUGUUAAGCAAGAUGUGAAAGCCCGGGGCUCAACCUCGGAACCGCAUUUUGAACUGGCAGACUAGAGUCUUGUAGAGGGGGGUAGAAUUUCAGGUGUAGCGGUGAAAUGCGUAGAGAUCUGAAGGAAUACCGGUGGCGAAGGCGGCCCCCUGGACA